RNAcentral lists this ribosomal RNA (405 nucleotides) under uncultured bacterium. RNAcentral's name for it is "bacterial SSU rRNA". It matches the Rfam family "Bacterial small subunit ribosomal RNA", at positions 8 to 414 of the family's 1533-position model. The record is from RNAcentral.
AGAGUUUGAUCCUGGCUCAGAAUGAACGCUGGCGGCGUGCCUAACACAUGCAAGUCGGAUGUGCCGCAAGGUGCAUGGCAGACGGGUGAGUAACGCGUGGGGAAUCUACCUCUUUGUGGGGAAUAACGCUCCGAAAGGAGUGGUAAUACCGCAUGAGAUCCAUGGCUGGGAUGCUGUGGAUGAAACCUGGGGACCGCAAGGCCUGGGGCAAGGAGAGGAUCCUGCGUCUGAUUGGCUAGUUGGUGAGGUAACGGCCCACCAAGGCAACGAUCAGUAGCCGGCCUGAGAGGGUGAUCGGCCACACUGGAACUGAGACACGGUCCAGACUCCUACGGGAGGCAGCAGUGGGGAAUUUUGCGCAAUGGGCGAAAGCCUGACGCAGCAACGCCGCGUGGGUGAUGAAGG